GAAAUUUACUCUUGGAUAGAAAAUAAGGUUUAAGAUAAAUAAGGCUUCAAUUUGGGACAAAUGCUUUACAUAUUUUGGAAGAACUUCUGGAUACUCCAUUUUUUUCUGAAAAUCCAAAUUAAAUGAAGGUAAAAACUAUGGGUUUUUGAUGUUUAACUUGUCUGGAAGCAAUAUGCUGUUGAAUCUCACUUUGUUUUCAGAACAAGUGGUCUUUCAACCUCUGCAUUUAGCAGUACAAAAAUUUGAAUAAAUAGCAAAUAAUUAAGAAAUUCUGUUGAUUUAAGCUGCAAAGGAAUGAUGAAUGUGAAAGAGAAGUUGAGUAGAUGACAAUGGCCUUCAUCACAAUGAAUUCCCAUCCUAGAGUUUAGAAACUUAAAGCAAAACAUUCUAGGAGAAUGAGAAAGGGACCAAAAUUUGGUAACAAUAAGAACAAAAUUUAACUCUUGCCCCAGUCAUGAAAGAAAAUAAACUAAUUCUCACCUUGAACAUCAAUUCACAACUCUUUUUAAGGGAUAUAAUAGCAUUGCAAGAUGUCAACUUGAAGAUAGGUCUGAUGGAUUCUUCUAAUUGGUUUUCGUAAUUACCAUUCGACUGAAUGUCUGAAUCCAUCUUCCAUCAAUUAAGAUAUUUGGAAUGUCAGCAAUCUUGGGCCAAUCCACAUCCAUGUUGCUGCUGCAUCUUUCUGAUAGCUGAGGACAGUUAACUAUCUCUAAAUAUUCCAAUGCGAUGAGGUUGCCCAUCCAGUCUUGUAAAGAUAUCAAUUAGGAAAACUUUCGAUUAGGAGUUAGAGCAGAGUGGGAACAUAUUGAAGCCCCUUUGGGAGGGACACCAAUUUGAACAUAUCUCAGAAAUGAGGAAGAUAAAUAAUGUUCCUCUUAGAUAGAAAAUUUGAAUCAGGGAUGUAAACAUCUGUAACCCUAAGAUUCCUCUUACUUGAUGAGCCAGGGUACGUGGAAAGUGAAAGUCCAAUCAAAUUUAUAAAGAAUUCAUAUCCAUUAUCAUUUGUCAAGAACACAAGGGCCACAAGAAAUCU
Molecule: unclassified non-coding RNA, 1033 nt
Filed under: Hevea brasiliensis (rubber tree)
Lineage: Eukaryota; Viridiplantae; Streptophyta; Magnoliopsida; Malpighiales; Euphorbiaceae
Source: RNAcentral